UACGUAGGGGGCAAGCGUUGUCCGGAAUUAUUGGGCGUAAAGAGCGUGUAGGCGGUUUGGUAGGUCCGUUGUGAAAACUCGAGGCUCAACCUCGAGACGCCGGCGGAAACCAUCAGGCUAGAGUCCGGAAGAGGAGAGUGGAAUUCCUAGUGUAGAGGUGAAAUUCGUAGAUAUUAGGAAGAACACCAGUGGCGAAGGCGGCUCACUGGCCCGGUACUGACGCUGAGGCGCGAAAGCGUGGGGAGCAAACAGG
RNAcentral lists this ribosomal RNA (253 nucleotides) under uncultured bacterium. Its description in RNAcentral is "partial 16S ribosomal RNA". It matches the Rfam family "Bacterial small subunit ribosomal RNA", at positions 524 to 776 of the family's 1533-position model. The record is from RNAcentral.